CGCCGAGGUAGGCAUUGAGUGUUUCGCUGGGAUACUCUGAAGCGCCAGUGGUACAAGUACGGAGACUGGCUACUCUUUGCCACACCAGCAGAUUUUCGCGUAGGACAUCACUUCUUCAAACCAGGACAGCGGGAAAACCUGUUACGGGAUGUCGUUUUCCUGGAUCCACCUGAAUGGGUUGCAACUCUGGACUCAACUGUCAGCGAAUCCACAUUUUUGCAGAUAAUAGCGCAUUUCCUUAUCUACAGCUAUACCGUGAAUCUGACUUUGUAUAAGCCUAAAAAUGUCAGCAUACCGACAAAUGAGACAAUAAUGCUACGCUGGAGUUGGGGCGCGUGCGGUUCCUCGUCGAGUUUUGAUAUUCUACGGCUUCUGCUCGUUAGACUUCCUUCCGAAGUCCACGCCCUCACUGGCGCGUUUUCUCCGGUUACUGCACCAAACUUUGCACACAGCAUGAAAACGACAGGUUUUUAUUAACGUAUGCUAGAAGCCCGUUCGUUGUGUUGCCGUCCAUUCGCUUCACGUUUUCGCCUUUCUCAACAUGUGAUAUGUAACAUUGUUCGGCUCCACGAGCUGUCGACAUCUUCAAUUGUGGUUUGCCCGCCAUCUGGGGGUUAAAAGCAGCCCUCGUGGGGCACCAUGAUCUACGAGUGUGACCACCCCGCAAGUGUGGCUAGCUUACAAGUUGAGUUACACAACGUUUCUACUCUCAUUUUCUGCCUGCGGGCCCCCGUCUCAUAUUAGCACCACUGUACUGGGGGAAGCAUCAUGUUGCUAUGGCCAUCUUUCUCGUGCACACGGUUUUCUCGUCUUUUCAACUGAAUUGUCCAGUCGCUCCACCAGCCCUCCUGUGCAGCAUCGUAGCAUCGUGUUGGACGAAUUGUAUCACUUUCCCUUCUAAACGACUCGUCCUUUUGCGCCUCACACUCUUCAUAGUUUACCCCAGCAUGGAACCGCGAGUCUUGGUUGCCUUCCCCUUCCGUAGGCGCUCGCGUGGACGGCGUUAGCAGAGAACGCUGGACUCUCUCAUUCGUCCAGAAACAUGUGUCAGAAUUUUCGCUGCCGCGAGUAUGCUCUGUUCCCCAUUGUUCCUGGUUGUGACAUGUGCUCAUGCUUGUCCUUCGGCUCGAGUUGCUCGAGCAGCUGCUCCCUGGACCUCUGGCAGCGAGGCCGCUAUCAUAGAUCGUAUCAUCAGCGCGUCCGUGAUCUCCGUCAGUGCAUGAAGCAGGCGGAUAAGAAUCUUUCGGAGGGUUGCAUUCCCCGUCAACACUGGAGACCAUUUGUGACUCGAACCGUGGCUCUCUCCCUCUUCCUACAGAAGGCUCUUGCCGCCCCCUUCCAAAGGAAUGCGGGUUCUGCGAGUGUCUAGACGAGCACUUUGCGACCACGGCAUGUUGCGAGAUGCGGUGCCCGUCUGGGGACGAAGCCCCCGUAAGUCGGUGCCACGGGGCGGCCAGGUGCCCCUGUUGAAGGAGUUCGAACUGGUAGACAACUCGUCCGUUCGAGCUUUUCUGUCGCUCUCGCCACGGAGGCAGAAACAGUUCAUCGCAGUUCGGCGGCACCUGGCAGCCAGCUGGGAAGUCGAUUGCUGCUGUUGCGUCGGCGCGCUCAGGGAAAUGCGCCGAUUUCGCCGCGACAUCGAAGUCCGUCGUUUUCCUCUUCUUCAAGUGUUGUUCGAUGUCUUCGAGUGACGCAGCCCAUGGGUCAUCGUUGUCCUGCUGGCGCUCUUCCCCGGUUGCUCUCUCUGCCUCUUGGUCACUGUCGGUAGACUCACUCAGGUUGCUGGCGCGGCGCACCAUUAGGGGCAACGAUGACGUCGCCGUAACCGUUUGGUUUCCUCUCGAAGAGCGCUCCGGCUCCUCGUCCUGGCCGUACACACUGUGGUUGUCUCGGGGGCUUUCUCGCACCGAGGACCCCCCAGUGCAAGAUUCCUGCUGGUUCUGCUGGCGCCUGCGCGCUCUCUGUCGGCGUUGCUGCUGGCGCUGCUUCCGUCGCCUCUGCCUCUCUGUUGCGGGGCGAGACUCGGGUCUGCCUGCCUCUACCUCCAGCCCACUUCGCGAGUGGCUAAGUCCCCCUCGGACAGUCAGGACAACGGGCGGCGCCGCAGGCUGCAGCGGCGAGACAUCAUCCUGCGGAAAGUCGCGCGAGCGCUUCUUGCCUUCCCCUCUUUGUCCGUCGCUGCCUCCGAGCCUCCGGUCGUCGAGACUGCCGGAGUUCUGCGGGGACCUGCGUUCGACCGGCAAGGGUGGCGCCCCGCCGGGGGACCUCUGGGGCCCCGCGACGCCAAACGGCGUUAUGGGAGAUGGCGGCAGACGCGAAAGAGCUUGCGAACACGGCGAAGGCGUCAGUUGACUCGGAGGCUGAUGCCAGGGAAAACCGCUGUGCCGAGGAGAGGACAGGCCUCUGGACCGCCGCGGCGUGUCUGCGCCUUCAAAUCUGCGAGGCAUCUCCCUGAAAAUGCGCGAAGGACUCUCACUGCUCGGAAAUCUCCUCCAGUCGGCGGCGGAGGCGCUGUUAACGCGAAGCGGAGGGAGCUGGCGGGAUGCGCACUGCGACGACGUAGACGGAGCUGAGAGGAUGGUAGGAACAGGCAAACGCCUAGGAGAUUGGGAUGAAACACGACAUGAGGGGGACUGUGUAAAUGAUCGAUCAUUCCAGGCGGAAUUGCUGCGCUGAGAGGGGGACGCAUCUCCACGGAAUUGCGACGGCGGCGUCCGGGUGCUUCGGCCCGAGCUAUCACUAAAUCUCCGGUACUUCGCCCAGUGUUCCCUUUCGGAGGGAAUCGGAGGCUUCGGAGAAAAGCACCGGCCCCUCCGAACGGUGUCAUUUCUGGAACAGCUCACUGAUUCCACGAGGCAAGGUCUCCUGUGUUCAGUUCGCCGCAACGAUGCCGGCGCCGCAGACUGCCACUUGACAGGACUUGGGGAGGCAGCGCGUGAAAAGGGUUCUAGCGGAAUACUUGCACGGCGACAAGGGGCACUAGAAUCGAUGUGGUGUUGUGACAGUGGACUAUAUGAGGCAGCCAGAGACUCGACUUCCCUCGAGAAGCUUGCGACUCGGGGGAGCGGCAGCCUAUGUCCGGUCGGUGGAGCAGGGCUACAUCUGCGUGUGCAUAGACGUGGGGGAUGCUUGCGCAACCUUUGCUGCUCGUACGCAGGGUUACAGGAGAGAGAAACAAGUGUUUUUCCCUUAGGUGCACUGCACUGUACAGGGGGUGCCAUGGGGGCUCCAGAUCUAGACGGCCCGUGCGGUGAAUAUGAGCGUUGGUCGAGUUCACGUGAUUGCCAGCGGGGAAUCUGAGGUUCCGACAACGUACCUCCUGCUGUAGCUCGGCUGAAAUCGGCUGGCACACAUUCGCGAGGCGAAUACUCAGACGAGUUAGGUUCGUCGUCCAUGCGACUGCGGCGACCAGGGGAAUCGGGCCUGUCUUUAAGUACGGCACGAUACGCACCCUUUUCGAGGUCCUUGUCUGUCUCGUACUGUCGCUGAUCUGUCCUUUCAGGCGGCCACUGUCGGCUGUCCCCCCGGUCGCCAUGCCUUGACUGUAGAACCAGCACCACAGGGCUUUGCUCUCUGCCCUGCCGGGGUUCUCGAUUGAACGCCUCCCUGGGCUCUUGGGGCAGUGAAAAAUCCCGAGGUCCUCUUAGCCUGUCGUGAUCACAGAAGCCCGCAUCCUCGUACGAAUAAUCAGCGUGUUGACGAUGGAGGUGUCGGAAGCCAUCUAGGUUUGGGGCGUUGUCCUGACGUUCGCGGGAGGACACAGGAGGCGGGGGGUCUCCGUGGGACAUCUGAGGCGUCUCCGCAGGGUCUGCGUCUCCGCGGUGUGAGAGAUCCAGACAAUUUGCGGUUUCAUGAGCACUGUGACGCCUCGAAAUGUGGAGCACCUCAGUCUGAGGGUAGGGCCCCCUAGCGGCUGGAUGAGACUCUGGAAGUCUUACUGUUCUAAUGCCUACAGCGCCCGACGCCCGUGUAGCAAAGGCGUCGCUUUCGCGUUCCUCCCGUUCGCUAAAGGGAGGAGGGGGUGGAGGGCCUCUCCGAGAGCAAGUAAACGUAUUGCCCGUGGGAAUAGGAAGCAGACCGACUCCCGCUUGCGGUGGCGCAGAGGCGGGUGGGGGCGGCUGAUGUCUGGAGACCCCAUACAGCUGCUGAUUUGUGGGCGCAUCUGGCGGGGCUCUGGGAACGGGAGGAUGUGGAUGACCGGCUGAUGCGGAGCCGGGACCGCGACGAGGACAAGACAACAGGGGAGGAUUUGGAGGGCCACCGAUGGGGCCGCUCCGCCCUGUCAGUUCCGGCCGAGUCAUGGCCCGCAAAACUGCAGGCGGUUCUGGCGGUGGUGGUGGCGCAGGCACGAAGGAGGCGUGCAUGGUCACAGAUACAAAUGUUCAAUUGCGACUGACGUCAACCAUUAGAAACAACGGAAACAAACGACCGGAGAAUCCACGCAGAAGGGGCAUCGAUCUGCGCAGAUACCGAAGCUCAAGUCCCUCAAAGCAAGAGCGUAACGCAAAUCAGGCUGCCGCAAUUCUUUAUAAGUUCCAGCAGAAAACAACUUGCUGACACAAACAUGAUCACGGAGUAGUGUGUCCAGUAUUGAAUCCAAUAAAGGUCGCACUGGAGAACACAAGAGCCUCGGUGGUUCUCCAGGACGGUCGUCGAACUCGACUGAUCGUGACUACCGUGACGGGUGUCACCUUUUGAGAGUCAGCCAAACCAUGAAGCUGCGAAAGCCCUGAAAAAAGCCCUGUAUGGGUGAAGAAAAACGAGCACGGCAAGUUGAACAAACUUGGAAGCAGCAAUACUGAGUUGGUAUGGGAGGUGCGCCGACGAGAUACCCGGCCGGUGAUAUAUGGGGUCAGAUUGCUUUUUGACGGAAGUUGUUGGCACUGGAAAGACCUCCUUGAAACAGCUGCAUCAACGCAGGAUCGCUCCAGAACACGGGUAGGGGGCUGGAAUCAGCAAGUUAAACAGUCGUUCAUUGAAUGCAUAGAGUGACGGUAACCGUAUGAAAUGAUGCCAGAGGCCGUUGGAACCCGCAGUCAAAGUCAUCGCGUGUCUUUCCCCUUUCUUUGUGGCUUCACAACAAGAAGAGUUAUGCGCACGAACCAGUAGGCUUGACGACGACUUUAGGUGUCUUUUUCACUUUUCACUUUUCCCUUUAGCCCGAAAACCACCGGGCCAUUCCAAGCAAUUAGCGUCGCAGUUUGCAGCGCAAAUUGCGAGCAGAAACAGGCAUGAUCAAAGAUGAAUGAUGGAAGACAGAGAGCACAUGGACUAGGGAGGACGGAAAAGUAAGGGUGGCCAGCCGGAAAAAGAGGGUGAAAAUGUGCACAGUUGGAUUGAACUUUCGGUUUAAAAAUGCAAACAUUUUCCGAUCUCGUGCACGAAUCUAAAAAUACCAUCCCAGGCCGAACCAACAGUCAAUCUAGCAGUCGAAUCUAAAGGGAGAAUCACUUUUUCCCAAAUCUGGCCCCCAGCGCGAAAUAGUUAAAAAACUGACAAGACGGGUUUUUGUGUUUGUGACAAGGUUUUGAAAAGCUGCCAGUUAACCGGGCGUUGACAAGUCAAAGCCAAGGGUGCUCAUUAUCGCAUUUUAGACACGAAUAGAAAAUGGCUUGACAGGUGUGCAUUAUGAAACGUUACACGGAGCACAUUUAAAUUGAAUUCGCUUCCCUUUCUUAAAAGGGCUCACAUUCGACACCAAGGAAAAAGCGCCAAUAGUGGGGCCGCCCUCCAGGCUCUAAUAGCGAGCACGACUUGAGAACAGCUAUCUCAACGGGAUAACCAACCCUUAAAGAAAUGGGAAAGCCGGGGAAAAAACACACAGAUUACGACAUCGUCCGCGCCUCCAUGAAUCUCCCGCCUUCCGGAGCUAGCAAUUAGUGAAGUUUCGUUGCUUUCUUAAACUUCUAACAAGUUUCGUCCCAGAUCGCGAACAGUGCGUAGUCUAGUGCACUGUGCCACGUUCGCAUGUGGUGCGCGCACACACCAUGCACCUCGCGCUCCACCAGAUCGGCGAAAAGGCACCAAAGAUAAGCGGUCCUGAAUAUGUUGCUUCAACAAGGUUUUGAGAAGCUCAUUAAAAACAACAACGCAGUCACGGUGACUCAUAUGCGUGGAGGUCACACUUUGCAUAUCCGUUAAAAAGAAGUCUUGGCGGUUACCCAAGGAUGAGACGACCGAUCAACGUGAAGCGACUACAGUUUGGCCACCCAGCGUAGUCAACGUACUUUGAUUCAUCACGACGAAUUGGAAAAAACUGUGUCAAAUGAAUGUUUGUAAGGAAGCGGAAAGCGCUUAUUGAUGAUUGAAUAAAGCUGCGUCUGAGGCUUUCUCACCGCUGAGAAAAAUCGAUCCGUACGUGGCAGUGUUUGAGUCUCACUCCUGAAGGGCAUUGUGGAAAGACAGUGCUGUUCAGAGGUACCUUGCGGAUGUGGUGUAUGCUCACGUUGUCUUCGCCAAAGGCAAAAUGAUUUUCUUUCCUCUGAUGCUCACGUUCGAUCCGCGUACCGAGAAAAUGCUCAACAGCCGCAUUAAUUUGGACUCACUCGCCAGCCAGAAAGGGUUUGAUAGGGUUGAUACUCCUGUCGCACCAGUCACAGAGGUUACCAACCAGCUUCCUUCCUGACCCCACCCUCACGGCGUUCGUGCUGAUGGCAAGUUUAUCUCGAGUCACCCACAUGGGUUUAAUCGAUUUAACGUGAACAUAGAAGGUGCAAAUUAUUUGUUGGCAGGGAGAGCCACUCCAGACAGGGAAACCACCUAAUCUGAACUAUCAUGUCCAAAUUCACUUUCCCUCAUAGCCUAUCGAUUAGUGGGCGAUUCAGCAAGUAGUGUACUACAACAGGAUGAGAGAGACAUGUGCUUUUAGGCAACCGUGUCUCGGCGCAUGAGCGGAACCUGCCGCAAAUGAACGUGUCACGCAGCACGUGAGUAUGUCAAAACCGUAACUUCACCAAACUGCUUGUUUCUAUUCGUGAAAGGACCAGCGUUGCACUUUUUCUGAAGAACACAUCGUUGGUAUCUAUUAAAUCUCUGCUACUCUCGUGAUUUUCAAGCUAUAGUCAUCAUCAUCUGAGUCUGGGCGUGGG
RNAcentral lists this long non-coding RNA (7088 nucleotides) under Toxoplasma gondii VEG. Lineage: Eukaryota; Apicomplexa; Conoidasida; Eucoccidiorida; Sarcocystidae. The record is from RNAcentral.